CCCGCACUCUCCUCCCCCUCCUGCCUCUCCUCUUCCCCGCCUACUCCUGCUGUCGCCGCCGCCGCCUCCGCUCCUGCUGUCGCCGCAUCGCUGCCCCAAACCCCUGCCACAUCGGAGAGAAAUCCAUGGCGGUGGACAAGCCCGGCGGCGGCGGGGCCUCCUCCUCCUCGCACGCGUCCACCACGGACCGACCGCGUCAGCAAGAGGAGAGGAGCAGCAGCCGCAGCGCGUCCUCAGUCCGGCCUCGACAAGAGAAGGGGAGCAGCAGUCCGACCUCGUCGCCACCUCUCCUCACCUUCUCCCCGGUUCCUGAUCUGGAGUGGGAGGGACGCACGGCGGCGAGGCCAGGCUACCCUUGACACGCAUAUGUGGAAUGUUCUCACUAUCAACUCUGGAAUAACUAGCAAGUAGUGGUGUCAAUGGCAUCCGUGGGAGCCAUUUUGGUGGCACAUGGACAUCACGUUCUGGAAUAAAGUAAGUCUCACAAUCAACUUGGGAAGAUGAGGCCAUGGAACAAUAAAUAACUUGGCAACGGAUAUCCUGUGGUCUACAAUUAUACUGUAAUUAUGUGUGCACUUUGGAUCUAUUGGAUGUCUGAAUGUAUUGUUAAUCGACAACUACUGAUGCAAAGGAGAUGUGUGUCGAGAGGCACAUGAAUACGCACGUGGGCUGUUUUUCAGCAUGGUAGUCUAAAAAACUGUGGUAUUCUCAGAAAAUGCUUUGCUAUCAAACAGGGCAAGUGCAGAUUUCCUUGAAUAUAGUUUAUUUUACAAUUGUGUUGCCAACGUGCUUCCUGUUUUAUCACCAUCAAAUAGUUCUAGGUGCUCAUAUAAAAUUUAGUGGCGUGUAUAAGUGAUUGUAGUGCAGUUUUGUUGAUCUGCUUGCAUUUUCAGCAUUAUAGUGUUGAUAUACUAUCUCAAUAAAACAGUGAAUACGUAUAAUAUGUACAAGCUACAUUCAAGUUAUGGCAGUGUGCCUGGGUAAGACGAACCGGUAAUCUUCUGCUAGCUGAAAAAAACUUGUUUCGUCUUUACAUGUGUUUCUUGUUGAAACUCUUUUUCGUCUUUGCAUGUGUUUCUUGCUGAAACUCGUGAUUUUCAAGUUAUGGCAGUACAUAUGUCUACCCACUUGCAUGACUUCCGAUAUUGUCCUUAUUUUGCUCCUCCUUAGCCUUGUUCUGUUAGUGCAGUUCUUUUAAAUAGCAGGGACAGAGUCCCAGAAAACAUGCCUGAUUGCUUUUCUUAGUGGUGCACUUGCAAGUAUAUGUGGUCGUUUCUGUUAGUUUCUCAUGCUUUUCUACAAAGUGAUAGGUUAAUAAUGUCAUCAACAAUUUUUUCCUUAACUGAUCAAUAUCUUAGAAGUUGUCACUCAUUAGUUUUCUUUUCCUUAUCUGAUCUCUAGCGAGUAGAGUGAUUUAUUUUCGCAAUACCUAAUUCUGAUCAUAGGUAAUGAAAGAUUUGUUUUCAUUAAAUGAGAUUCUUGUUUUGUGUUGAUUUUGCAAAAUUUCUGUAGCCUCAUAUUUGCUCAAUCCAAUAGACACAUUUUAAUCAACCUUUAGUAUAAUGUUAAUAAUAUGCUUUUAGAAAAAGGGAGAUGCCAUUUAGACCUUACUCUGUCCAACUUGAUCUUCAACUUGCCGCUACUGUUUUUAAGCAUUUUCCCGAAAACUGUUGUAUUUGCUUUAGAGAAUGAGCUCACCUUACUCAGAAGAUAUGCCAAGUAAAAAAUUAGAAAUUGAACAAUUAGUUCCGCUCUUAAAUUUUGCACAACAGUCCAAAUUAUCCAAUAAAUUAUGUGUUAGCAGGGUCAGAUUAUAGAAGUUGAAUCACUUGUUCUAAAUUACCCAAUCCAAAUUAUGGAUGUUAAUAAUAUGCUUUCUGUUAGACUAUUAGUCAAAUUGUUGAAAGCCGGAGCAGGGUUGAGGAGCCGGCCUCCGCCUUUGGCCAUUACGUGAGAAGCAACACCGGUGUUGGCCGUUACCGUGUGCAGAGUGCGUGAGUUAGUGAUUUAAUUCCAUCCUUUCCAUCUCAUGAUGUGAUUUUUCCUUUAGGAUGAAUUAGUAACUUUGUGUGGAGGUGGCACCACUACCUGCUGGUUGGUGUAAUGCCGUGCUUGACAGGGUGAUCUGCAAUUCCGAGUUUGUUUAAUGGCUUAAUGUCUAAGCACUCAUCCCC
Non-coding RNA from Aegilops tauschii subsp. strangulata, 2174 nucleotides. NCBI's taxonomy places the organism in Eukaryota, Viridiplantae, Streptophyta, Magnoliopsida, Poales, Poaceae. The record is from RefSeq and is a predicted model, not a curated record.